Molecule: ribosomal RNA, 253 nt
Filed under: uncultured bacterium
Lineage: Bacteria
Description: partial 16S ribosomal RNA
Rfam family: Bacterial small subunit ribosomal RNA
Source: RNAcentral
UACAGAGGGGGCAAGCGUUGUUCGGAAUUACUGGGCGUAAAGGGCUCGUAGGCGGCCAACUAAGUCAGACGUGAAAUCCCUCGGCUUAACCGGGGAACUGCAUCUGAUACUGGAUGGCUUGAGUUCGGGAGAGGGAUGCGGAAUUCCGGGUGGAGCGGUGAAAUGCGUAGAGAUCCGGAGGAACACCGACGGCGUAGGCAGCGCCCUGGACGACACCUGACGCUGAGGCACGAAAGCUGGGGGAGCGAACAGG